This is a non-coding RNA of Pelobates cultripes (western spadefoot toad), 211 nucleotides long. The record is from the annotation of a GenBank genome assembly. NCBI's taxonomy places the organism in Eukaryota, Metazoa, Chordata, Amphibia, Anura, Pelobatidae.
AAUAAAUACACACAAGAUUACAAAAAAGAAGUAAGACAAAAUUCCCUAUUAAGUCCCUUGAGCCAUAAGGUGUUUAAUGUGUGGAGCCCCUUCUUUUUAAGCAAACCUUGACGGUUGCCACCUCUCCUGAGUGGGGGCACAUGGUCAAUAACCUGAAAUAUUGUGACUAUGUUCCAUGAAGGUCAUUCAUUUUGUCUAGUUCUAAUAGUUG